AAUAGAUACCCCGGUAGUCCACGCCGUAAACGAUGAGUGCUAAGUGGUUGGGGGGUUUCCGCCCCUCAGUGCUGCAGCUAACGCAUUAAGCACUCCGCCUGGGGAGUACGGUCGCGAGACUGAAACUCAAAGGAAUUGACGGGGGCCCGCACAAGCGGUGGAGCAUGUGGUUUAAUUCGAAGCAACGCGAAGAACCUUACCAGGUCUUGACAUCCCGGUGACCACUUAUGGAGACAUAGUUUCCCCUUCGGGGGCAACGGUGACAGGUGGUGCAUGGUUGUCGUCAGCUCGUGUCGUGAGAUGUUGGGUUAAGUCCCGCAACGAGCGCAACCCUUAUUCUUAGUUGCCAUCAUUCAGUUGGGCACUCUAAGGAGACUGCCGGUGAUAAACCGGAGGAAGGUGGGGAUGACGUCAAAUCAUCAUGCCCCUUAUGACCUGGGCUACACACGUGCUACAAUGGACGGUACAAACGGUUGCCAACCCGCGAGGGGGAGCUAAUCCGAUAAAACCGUUCUCAGUUCGGAUUGUAGGCUGCAACUCGCCUACAUGAACG
RNAcentral lists this ribosomal RNA (553 nucleotides) under uncultured bacterium. RNAcentral describes it as "bacterial SSU rRNA". It matches the Rfam family "Bacterial small subunit ribosomal RNA", at positions 777 to 1325 of the family's 1533-position model. The record is from RNAcentral.